Molecule: ribosomal RNA, 519 nt
Filed under: uncultured bacterium
Lineage: Bacteria
Description: bacterial SSU rRNA
Rfam family: Bacterial small subunit ribosomal RNA
Source: RNAcentral
ACACUGUACGAGUUUGAUCAUGGCUCAGAACGAACGCUGGCGGCUUGCUUAACACAUGCAAGUCGAACGUGAAAGGCUUCGGCCGAGUAAAGUGGCGCACGGGUGAGUAACGCGUGGGUAAUCUGCCCUUGGGCGGGGGAUAACCUCUCGAAAGGGGGGCUAAUACCGCAUGAGACCACGGCUUUUCGGGGCUGUGGGAAAAGGUGGGUCGCAAGGCCUGCCACCUGAGGAUGAGCCCGCGUACCAUUAGGUUGUUGGUGGGGUAAUGGCCUACCAAGCCGAAGAUGGUUAGCUGGUCUGAGAGGACGAUCAGCCACACUGGGACUGAGACACGGCCCAGACUCCUACGGGAGGCAGCAGUGGGGAAUAUUGCGCAAUGGGGGAAACCCUGACGCAGCAACGCCGCGUGUGUGAAGAAGGCCUUCGGGUCGUAAAGCACUGUUGGGAGGAACGAGCCGCUCGUGGGGAAUAUCUGCGAGCCCGACGGUACCUCCUGAGGAAGCACCGGCUAACUCCGUG